UAUACGAUGAAGAGUUUGAUCCUGGCUCAGGAUGAACGCUAGCGGCAGGCCUAACACAUGCAAGUCGAGGGGUAUAGAGAGCUUGCUUUCUAGAGACCGGCGGAUGGGUGAGUAACGCGUAUGCAACCUACCUUUUACAGGGGAAUAGCCCGGAGAAAUUCGGAUUAAUGCUCCAUGGUUUAUAAGAGUGGCAUCACUUUUAUAAUAAAGAUUUAUCGGUAAAAGAUGGGCAUGCGUAUCAUUAGCUAGUUGGUGUGGUAACGGCAUACCAAGGCGACGAUGAUUAGGGGUCCUGAGAGGGAGAUCCCCCACACUGGUACUGAGACACGGACCAGACUCCUACGGGAGGCAGCAGUGAGGAAUAUUGGUCAAUGGAGGCAACUCUGAACCAGCCAUGCCGCGUGCAGGAUGACGGUCCUAUGGAUUGUAAACUGCUUUUGUACGGGAAGAAAUGUGAUUACGUGUAAUUAUUUGACGGUACCGUAAGAAUAAGGAUCGGCUAACUCCGUGCCAGCAGCCGCGGUAAUACGGAGGAUCCGAGCGUUAUCCGGAAUUAUUGGGUUUAAAGGGUUCGUAGGCGGUU
This 583-nucleotide ribosomal RNA is filed under the name Myroides sp. WP-1. RNAcentral's name for it is "bacterial SSU rRNA". It matches the Rfam family "Bacterial small subunit ribosomal RNA", at positions 1 to 580 of the family's 1533-position model. The record is from RNAcentral. Lineage: Bacteria; Pseudomonadati; Bacteroidota; Flavobacteriia; Flavobacteriales; Flavobacteriaceae.